RNAcentral lists this ribosomal RNA (300 nucleotides) under uncultured Lactobacillus sp. RNAcentral describes it as "bacterial SSU rRNA". The stretch from base 57 to 300 matches the Rfam family "Bacterial small subunit ribosomal RNA", at positions 551 to 795 of the family's 1533-position model. The record is from RNAcentral. Lineage: Bacteria; Bacillati; Bacillota; Bacilli; Lactobacillales; Lactobacillaceae.
GGGAGGAUGGCUGAGAGGAGCGGCGGUAGUAGGUAGUGGUCGGGCGUUGGGCGGGGUGAUUGGGGGGUGAGCAAGGGGAGGCGGUUGGAUAAGUGGUAAGGAAAAGGCUGGGGGUUAAGCAUAGGAUGGUUUGGAAACUGGCAAACUUGAGUGCAGAAUGGGAGAGUGGAAUUGCAUGUGUAGCGGUGAAAUGCGUAGAUAUAUGGAGGAACACCGGUGGCGAAAGCGGCUCUCGGGUCUGUAACUGACGCUGAGGCUCGAAAGCGUGGGGAGCAAACAGGAUUAGAUACCCGAGUAGUC